AACGAACGCUGGCGGCGCGCCUAAUACAUGCAAGUCGAACGAGAAUGUGUAGCAAUACACAUGUACAGUGGCGAACGGGUGAGGAAUACAUGGGUAACCUACCCUCGAGUGGGGAAUAACUAGCCGAAAGGUUAGCUAAUACCGCGUACGCUUCCCGGACUGCGGUUCGGGAAGGAAAGCGAUACCGUGGGUAUCGCGCUCUUGGAUGGGCUCAUGCCCUAUCAGCUUGUUGGUGAGGUAACGGCUCACCAAGGCUUCGACGGGUAGCUGAUCUGAGAGGAUGAUCAGCCACACUGGCACUGCGACACGGGCCAGACUCCUACGGGAGGCAGCAGUAAGGAAUAUUGCGCAAUGGGCGAAAGCCUGACGCAGCGACGCCGCGUGGGGGAUGAUGGUCUUCGGAUUGUAAACCCCUUUCGGGAGGGAAGAUGGGAUGGGGUAACCCAUUCGGACGGUACCUCCAGAAGCAGCCACGGCUAACUUCGUGC
RNAcentral lists this ribosomal RNA (488 nucleotides) under uncultured bacterium. Its description in RNAcentral is "bacterial SSU rRNA". It matches the Rfam family "Bacterial small subunit ribosomal RNA", at positions 29 to 508 of the family's 1533-position model. The record is from RNAcentral.